Molecule: transfer RNA, 69 nt
Filed under: Mullerornis agilis
Lineage: Eukaryota; Metazoa; Chordata; Aves; Struthioniformes; Aepyornithidae
Description: tRNA-Asp
Rfam family: tRNA
About the family: Transfer RNA (tRNA) molecules are approximately 80 nucleotides in length.
Source: RNAcentral
GAGAAGUUAGUAAAUCUAUUACAUAGCCUUGUCAGGACUAAGUCACAGGUUAAAACCCUGUACAUCUCA